Molecule: unclassified non-coding RNA, 241 nt
Filed under: Glomeraceae sp.
Lineage: Eukaryota; Fungi; Glomeromycota; Glomeromycetes; Glomerales; Glomeraceae
Description: partial contains 5.8S ribosomal RNA and internal transcribed spacer 2
Rfam family: 5.8S ribosomal RNA (bases 1-71)
Source: RNAcentral
GUGAAUCAUCGAAUUUUUGAACGCAAAUUGCGCUUCCCGGCAUCCCGGGAAGUAUGCCUGUUUGAGGGUCAGUAUUAACAAAAAAUCGGUUUGGUUGCAAAUUGUGACGUUUCCGGAGUUUGGGCUAUCUUAACUUUUUUGGUUAAGGGGCUUAAAAUUGACCUUAUUUGCGCAUUUUUAGACGUACAUAAAUUUUUUUUUUUAUUUCUAUUUUUUAUGUCCAAAUAUUUUUUUAUGUGCU